GAUGAAGAACGCAGCAAAAUGCGAUAAGUAGUGUGAAUUGCAGAAUUCAGUGAAUCAUCGAAUCUUUGAACGCACCUUGCACCCUUUGGCAUUCCGAAGGGUAUGCUCGUUUGAGUGUCAUUGUACUCUCACACUCCCGAUCUUUGGAUUGGGAGCGGUGGACUUGGGUUUGCUGCUUGCCGUGGCUCACCUCAAAUGGAUUAGUGCAACUCUUGGUUGACCAUAGUACGGCGUGAUAAGUGUCUUCGCCGGCACCUCACUGGGUGGGCCGAUCGGGAGCUCUGUGCUUCAAACCGUCUUCGGACAACAACUGACAACUUGACCUCAAAUCGAGUAGGACCACCCGCUGAACUUAAGCAUAUCAAUAAGCGGAGGA
RNAcentral lists this unclassified non-coding RNA (376 nucleotides) under soil metagenome. RNAcentral's name for it is "partial contains 5.8S ribosomal RNA, internal transcribed spacer 2, and large subunit ribosomal RNA". The stretch from base 1 to 120 matches the Rfam family "5.8S ribosomal RNA", at positions 35 to 154 of the family's 154-position model. The record is from RNAcentral.